Molecule: long non-coding RNA, 12357 nt
Organism: Numida meleagris (helmeted guineafowl)
Lineage: Eukaryota; Metazoa; Chordata; Aves; Galliformes; Numididae
Exons: 28
Source: RefSeq, a predicted model, not a curated record
CUUGGAGGUAUUCAUGUUACCAGUAUUGCUACCUUGUUUGAACCUAGAGUUCUGUAAAUAUGUCAAGUGCUUGGGUAUUUUCUUUUACAGUCUAAUUGCUGAGCUAAUUCAUCCUGGUAAUCCUAUCUUUUCAAUGCUGCUGAACUAUGCCAUAAUUUGGAGCUCUUUAUUUGCCUUAGACCUUCUUAAUCUUGAAAGCAUGAUCCCCAGUGCAUCUCAAUCUAAUGGUAUUUGCUCUUUAUGUAAUAUCCCAGAAGACAUGUUUGGCAUUUAAAUGUGUCAAAGCACACUAUGCUUGUCUCUCUCUCUUUAAUAUUCUUUACUAUGACAUAUCCUGUGAUAAGGAAUCCUAAUAUCAAUGGAGUUUAUCAAUUUAGAAAUACAUUCAUUCCUGAUUUUUUUUGAACAAUUUACCUUUUCCUAAGUUGUUAAGUAUGUAUUUGACAUCUUAAGAUUUGUACCAGAAUUUUACACCAAGUUCUUCUUUCUGGUGAUCGAAGAGGGAGGAUAUCCAGGUCAAUCUGUAUACUGGCUUUUAUUGUUUCUUGUUGCACAGCAGUCUGAAUGAGGUUAUAUGGCUGCAUAUCAGCACUGGCCUUGAGCUUAGAUAGACAAAUCUGUAACAAGAGGCCUGGCAGUGAGGACUCAUUUUGCCUACUUUCCAGGUUCUUGAUAAAGCUGUCAGGAUAAGGUCUCAAGGUGGGCCUGUGAGAAACCUAGCUUCUAGGUACAAUAUGAGCCACUAAUUACUACUUAGUGAUUGUCAGUGGGGUUCCUUUGUGAAUUAUUUUGCAUUUAGCAGGGAGAAAACUUCAAAGUCUGCACAAAUGAAAUUUCCUUGGCGUUUGAAGAAAUUUUUGUGGCAAUAUGAAGUUUCUAGAAAGAGCUUUUCAUCAUCUUUUCAGCUGGAAUUAUUUUGCCUCUGCUUACUACAUUAUGUGAGAAUUGUUGCAAUAAAUGCUCAGUAAUUAGAUUAAAAUUUCUGCCCAACACUGUAUGUAUAUUCUAUAAAAAAAAUUGAUCUGAACUAAAAAGCACUUUAAGUCAAAAUUGGGGUUUUUAAAGUAGUUUUGGCUUGGUUGAAAUUACUUAAGUUAUUUUGUGCAGUUCCUAACCAUUGCAGUACAUAUAAGAUGAAAACAUUAUAUUGAUGUUAUGUAAUCAAUGAUUAGGCAUAAGCGAUAGGGAUUUGGAAUGAAAGGUGUUAUUCCUCUUUCCUGAUAAAGGACUGACAUAAGGAUAUACAAAAUUUUGUAUUCAAAAUCUUGUUCUGAAAUAUAAUAAAUUAUCUCUUUAUUACUACAUUCAGUUUGGGAAUCGUUUGCCUAGUGAUCAAGUGGAGUUUGCCUGGAACAACAGUAAUAUAAGGUACAAGCUAUUGGUAAUCUGUGAGGACAGGCACUGAUGAACACAGCUGCAAAGAAUGGUUUACUGGUAUUGCUGAUUGGAACUGGUCCAGUGCAUAUGGGACUUGUUCUAAAACAUUGGUGAAUUAUUUUGGUUCCCAUGACCAACAAAUGUUGUCUUGCUGUUUUUAUGAUCCUGUCUGCAGUAGGGCUGAUCACAUUAGGGCACUGGAGAGACAGAAAAUGGUUAUAUUUUAUAUUAAUUUCAUUCUGAAAUGUGAAUUUCUGACAAUAUGCAUUUUAAAUUUGAUUGACUUCUCCACACAGUAUUCCUCAAUGUCUCUAUUUCCCAUGCAGAUGAGAAUAGGCACUAGUAAUUGCUGGUGCAAUUUAAGCUACUUGAACAAGAUUGGAGUCAAUGAGAGAAUGCUGUAAAUGGUGCUUGGACUUCAUUGAAUAUUGCGACAUACUGUUAGCUGUUUGCAAGACAUUACUCAUGAUAUUGCCUGAUGGUCUGAGGCCUAAUGAAGUUCAUUUAGCAAAAAGCACUGCUUUCUUUCUCUUUUAAGGGAUCUGAAACUGCGUUAUAGGGUAGGAUAAAACUAGAGCACCUGUCCUUUUUGUUGACCACUGAGAGGAUCAUCUUACUCUUUACCUUCACCAGAGUUUUUUCUUCUGCGGUAUUGCUUUUGAUUUAGGAGGUAGCUUCACUGAAAAUAGGCAGUCACCAAGAAACUACCAUUACUUCCUUCAGCUGCUACCUCAGACUUAUUCAAGAUGUUUCUAGUAGCUUGAAACCUGAUAAUGGAUUGGCAAAUGGAAAAGAAUAAUCUCUGCUUUUGUCACUUGAGGUUUCUGUUUUGCCACAGUCAGCUUCCUUGUUCUUCUUUGCCUCUCAUUCUGUGUUUUCAGUUCAAAAAAAAAAACAACAAAGCAAAAUCUUUGGGAGAGAUCUUGCAGUAUCUCAUAUUUAAUCUUUUCCACUGAGAAAGGAGUCUACCUGGUUAUGGUCAUGGGAUUUUUUUUUUUUUGAAAUGUGUAAGCAAUGGGAAGAUGAUAAAAAUCCUCAGGGUACAGAAGAAGAGCAGAGCAUCUGUUAGAGAGCAUUGGUAGAGGAAUUAUUCCAGCUCUCUCUGUAAGGACAACAUAGUACUGCUCUCCUCAGGGCAAAGUUCUGCCUAAAAGAAUUUCCUGAACACUACAGUAAAUCAUUCAUUCUUCAGGUCAGGAAUUGCUGUUAAUUAUAUUUUCUGUUGAUCCUUUCCAUAGCAAUUACUGUUGCCACAGCAGACUUCGGUAUAUCACUUUUAUCUAUUCUUGAUGCUGAAGCUUUGAUUGUGGGUGCAAAUAACAUACAUACAAAAUCUGGUAUGAGCUUCCUCCAUCUCAGAGCUCCCUUGUCAUUCUUGGCAGUUGCAGAUACAGAAGUUCCUUGUAUGUUCUCUUCUAUUCUGUCAUUUCCUCUCAUGCUCCUUGUGCUCAGUCCUCCUUUUAAUUUUGCUCUCUUUUGUAGCAGGAGUAGUCUACUCUGCUCAUUUCAUACUCAAAGAAGCAAGCAUUGCUUUCUGGAAACAACAGUAUUUUCCUUCAGCUACACCUCCAGCAUCCCACAUUACUCCUUUUUAUAGUUAAGCUCACUGAAUUCACAUAUUUGCUCUGAAGAAGCUUUCCUCAGUUUUAAACCUUCUCUCUCUCUCUGUUCAGUGAUUUCCUUUCCCUAGUUUAACCCUUAUUGAAGUCUCCAUUAGCUUACUACUCAAAUUUCAUCCUCCUCGAGCUAUCAGUCACUUUCAGUACUUUCAGUGCUCUUUUUUUUUUCAAAAUCUUUUUGCCCCUGGUUCUGUUACACCUGCGGUCUUGAUCAUUUCUGUGGAAAACAAGAAAAUUCUUUGUCCUUCCCGGUUUUCCAUGGAGCUCUCAUUAGUUAAGUUGUUCCUCUCUUCCUUGUUAGGGUAUUUAGGAACACAGGGGAGAACCAUGUUGCUCCCAUCCAAACUGUUUAUCUAUCCCUGACAUGCCCAGCUGAAAGUGUCUAGAGCUCAGUGUUUCAGGGAGGGAUUUCACUUUUUCAUCAAAUGUCUUUUCUGUUUUUGGCAUUAAUCACGUGGACAUCAGCAGCACUUCUGUGAACCUGACUUGCUUUUUGACUCAGUCCUGUCUCAGAAGCUUUGAAUUUACCAAACUGUGACUAAGCAGGCACUUUCCAUGUAAUAUGUGUAAUUAAUAUAAUACUUAUUAAUGUUUCCCCUGUGUUUCAGAAAGACCUCUGUAAUCAUCUUAAAGGAAGACUUGUUGUAGGCUGUCCAAUUCUACCUCUAGUUCCUCAUUUCUGUUGACAAACCAGGUUGUUAAUCAAUGAAAGCAGAUUUAUACUCUGGGAAGUGUCACUCCUGUCAUAUGCUCCAAGAAGUCUACGUGUCUCCUGUACAGAGGACUUGACAUCUGGAUGCAAUACUUCAGUUGUAUAUAUGGCUGCUUAAAGUGCUGGGGAAUGGAGUACUGGGUCAUAGUACCUCAUGGACACCUUUGGGUGCAGACAAAUUUCAAGAACUUGGCGAUUGUUUAAUGUUCAGAAUUCAAGUCUGUUUGCCAUGUGAAGUGAAGGCCCUGAGGAACUCAAUAAUUUUGUCUUCAUUUGCAACCUGCUAGAAUGUUUGCGCUUGUAUGGAAUACUGAAGAUAAUUGUUCAAGAAUAAUGGCAAAGCUGAAGAAGCUUGUACAGGUUUUUGUAUUUCUUUUUAUGAGUGAACAGUGAUUUGAAAAUGCUAUUGAAUCUGAAUAGUAGCUCAUCAGGUUUGGCUGAAGCAGAUGACUACAGAAGACAUUAGGCAACGGGGAUUUGAGCCUGAAAUAUGAAAUGAAGUGUGCCUCUCUAAUCUUCUUCAAAAAAGACUGCAAAAAGUGUGUCUGGAUGUUCAUACCAAUGUACAGAUGCUUGUGUAGUCAUACAAAUAGAUCUUUCAUAUCUCCUUUUCUAGAUGUCACAUAGACUACAUUUGUUUGACCUCUCAGUGAAGUUUGAGCAGGGGUUAGAAGAGAUUAUGGUCAGCUGAGAAUCAUAUGACAAAAUAUCUCUGCAUUUGAAAAGAUGUGGCAAGAUACUACAGUUCUUCACAGCUUCAAAGCACUACAUGCACAGUGUACACACAGAUGUCCUUAGUGUUUCAAAUAUUCACCUUGUUCACCAAACCAAUGUAUUGUAUCCCCCUCUGCAGUGUAUAUGGAAAGGUACAAGCCUAUCUCAAACCAAUCAUCAUGAUCCAAGCAGCUGUCACAAGAACAACGAUCGCAGCAAAUGUUCUGUUCUUCAGCACUGGUAAAGGAGAGGAAAAUGCACACAAUUAGAGGAAUCCUGAGAGAUUUUCCACGUCUUGGUGCAUCUCUGCUGGACACCACAUUGUGUGUAAAAGUCUGUAUCAGUGUGGGUUACUGGAGUUUCAUCUUCUGAAGCCUUUCCAGGCCCUAGCUGUUUGGUCAGCUAAUCACAGAUAUCACAUUUUAAAAGAAGAUCCACAAAGCAGUUGCAGGCACUUGGAAGAAUUUUGACCAAGUUUGGGUGAACCAAGGACUAUGGAGAACAUCAGAAUUCAUGUGAUAUUAAUGAAGUGAUUAUUCAUACUGGACUUACAAAUGUAGAAGACUUAAGUUCUUCUGGGAGGAGGCAGGAUCACAACCAGGAGCACCAGGAGCAUCAUUCUUUCCUUUUUCUUAUAGGUUAUGCUCUGUUGCCAUGGAAUUCAGAAGAAAUUUGACAGAGAAUUCUUCUGGCAUCAGCUUCCGAAUGAUCUAUCACCUUUAGCAUCUCAACAGGGUUUUCUACUGUUGCUUCUUAAGUUCAGCGGAGUAAGGAAAGAAUGGGAAGCACACUGCGCAGUUGAAAUCAGAAGACACGUGGAAGGGAGGAGAGGAAAAUUGAAGGAAGCGCACUUCAGAGACAUUGGUAUAACACAAAAUGUUUAAAUCAUAUAUAACUGGUGAACUACUGCCCUGUUGUGUCUUUCUCCUUGUAGCAGUUAAGUUCUUCUACUCAUAAUGCCUUUGAAGCACAGCUGGAUGACAAUCCAGCUGACCAGUCUACUGCAGUAACUCUGCUGACUGCAACUACAAGCUUCACAAGAGUACUGUGGAACUGGAGACAGGAACCUAUCCUUUAUUACACUAAGGCAAUUUGUAAACUGGUAUACCGCUACCUUAGGACAACAACUGGGAGCUUUAGACCUUCAGUUCUUUUAUUUCGAAAUAAAUGAGAAAAAAAAAGUAGAAAUUACAUCUUGAACGCAGAUAUAUUACUUUGCAAGCAUGCAUGAGAUCUUUGAAGGAACAAUCUCAUUUCUCUGAUUAAUCCGGGCUCUGCUACUUUCAGUGAUUCUUUCCCGUGUCUACUAAGCUAUGUUGACACAUGGCAGUCCUGGAGUAGGUUUUCAGAAAAUGGUGACCAGAAAGAAGCAGAAUGUGGCUAUAUCUGUACAUCCACUUUGUUCCUCUGUAUCAAUUUCAACUUUUCUAGAAGGCGCCAAUGGAGAAAAAGCUGUAAAUUUCAUAUCAGCCUAUCUGAGAAACUCAAAUGAAACUUCAAGAUCAGUCAUCACAAUGCAUCUCCCAUUUCUUUCUAAAGAAAGAAUUUGGGAAACUUAUUUUCAGAGGCAAAAUCAAGCCAAAUAAUAUCUGUGCUAAAGUGGUGGAAAGGUGAAAAGUUUCUACUGUCUGGGGCAAUUGCUGGGAAGCUGUGACUGAUAUCUGCAAGAGCUUUAUCCAAAAGAGUUCAUCCACAGGUUUCAAGAGAAAGAAAGAAUGGGUUGUCCACUACAGCUGAAGCAAGGAAGUAAGAAAUAGGAAAAUCUGUGAUAACUUGACAGCAUGGCACAGUGGUGCACAGUUAUGGGCAGACCACUUUGUCCCAAUAUCCCCUCCUGACCCAGACUUGUCCAGGGUUCUACAAGCAACAGUUUAAGACAUUAUCAAAAGUACCACAAUGUAAAAAUACGCUGGUUGAAGCCCAAACAUUAUUUAUACAGUUAUGCUUCUGUUCUUUACCUGAUGGAAAAAGCUAAUGAUGUUAACUUUAAGAUAGAAAAUUUCCUGGUUAAAAAUGAUAUUAUAGUUUUGGAGGAAGAAUUACUGUUUUCUCUCCCAGCAUUUCUACUUGAAAAUUGUUAUAGCAAUAAGUAUUUCCCAUAUCUACCAGCCAUCAUGAUUCUGAUACUGUGAAUAUUCUGAAGACAAAAUAUUUUUACAUUAUAUUUAUUUCAAAAGUGUAGUACAAAUUGAAGCUUGAAAAAUGUCUUCCUAAUGCUGAUUUCAUUUCUUUAAUUCAGAUUUGUUUAUUAAUGUUAUAUUUGUAGUGCAAUUUUUUUUUAAAACUCUACCACUUUCCAAAGCAAACAAACCAAUAGUGAGGAGGAGAGCUUGAUGUUUUCAGCCCUGAUUUCUCAGAGAGGCAGAAAAUAAGUAAGUAAAUACAUAAAUAAAUAAAUAAAAGGCAGUUUCCGUUAUCAGGAUGGUGCUAGCUUUGAUGAAGAAACAGAGUUGACUUAAAAGUGAUUAAAACAGAUUUUGAAAGCAAACAAUCUAAAGAAAAGCUAAAUGUGUUCUUCUCACUAGGUGACCAGGUUCACUUUGCAAAAAUACUUUUUAGCACAAGGAAAGUGCAGAGAAACUGUGUUAGUAUUUUAAUUAAAGCCUUAUCACUUAUCUAGGAAAAAGUAUCUUAUGCUUGAAAGAUGAUUUCAUGAUCUGAAGAUACAUCCAGGUUAAAAGUAAUCUAAAUCAACAGAAUAGAUGUUUUGCUUAUGUUUACAGGCUUGAUGCUUGGCUUAAUCAGCUGACAAAAGAUCAACGUUAAUAAGCAAGUUUUUGACAGGAAACUGUAUAGCGAGUUAUUGAAUGCAAGUCAAGACUUGGUUUAUAGAAAAACAAUGAAGAAUAAGAAUUAUUUAAAAAUGGAAUUAAUAAACCUCCACCGCAACAAGUAAUUAAAAACUGAAGAGUAUGAAAGUGUCACCCUGUGACCCAGUUCUCAUGAAUUGUUUUAGUAAAAUUUUUAGGAACCAGUAGCUAUUUUUAGAAUAGCACAUGACUAAAAGGUUAAAAAAAAAAAAAAAAAGUAUUUGCUUCAAAUCUUUUUUUACAAAGAUUUUACCAAGGAACUUCAAGGUUGAUCAUGUUUCUAUAACAGCCGUGAUUAGAGUGUGGACACACAUUUGAAGAUGAAGUUGCUAGGACUAGGUGCUGAGAUAUGAUGUUGAUUGGCAUUCUAUAUAUGUCACAGGUGAAUAGGCAGAGAGAUUAGGGAGGAUCAGGGAUUAUCUGCAAUAGCGAAUAAAUCUGUCAGUCUUGUCACACAGCUAUUGCUCUCAGCUGUUGUUCCUCAGAAACCCAAAAGAGACAACGCGUGCAGAACUGAUGGUACCAGAUAAUUCAUUCUCAAUACCUUCAGUGGAAAUUAAAGAAAAAAAUAAAGAUUUUUAUAAUGCACAUAAAGUAUACUUGUUAAUGCAGAGCUGUAAAAAUACAGUACUCGAAAAGAAUGAGUUCAAGGAAAAUGUUUACUGAAGUAAAUUUACUUAGUGAUCAUCACAAAGUAAAGAGGUUGCUUAUGUUUAUGAACUGAACAAAGGAUCUCAAUUUGAGCAGAUCAAAACUAAUCAGAUCAAUGAGGCAGUCUGAGAAUUGCAUAUUGAGUUGAAUCAGCUGCUGAAGUCAGCAUCUGGGUAUGGUGUAGAAUAAGAGCUACAUGCUUCAGCAGAAGUCUCUCCAAAAUCUCAUGUAGUCAGCUUCUUUCAAGAGAAGAGUCUGUAUCUACAAUCCAGAGAGAGGGAAAGGAAUUAGCUCAGUUGUUGAUAAUAUACUGCACCACUUGUAUGGCCAUCUAGAAUAGAUAGCGGGUCAUAUUUUGUCAUUGAGAGUGGAAAAUAACCUUUAUCUGGUCAUUAAUUGGUGUUUCAAUGCUUGACAGAGUAGAUAAGGCUCCUAUAUGUGGCUAGGUUGAACUAAGCCUUUAUUAGAAAAUCAUCUGAUAUGCUAUUUUUUAUUGAUGUAAAAUAACUCUCAUUAUAUGAUAGUGACAAUUUUUCUCUUGUACAAGUGAUGAAUUUAAGUAUCUGUCAGAUGUAAGAAACUGUUUCUGAAGAUUGUCCUCAUUAGAGAAUUUUGCCAUCUGCAUUUCAUUGCACCAAAAAGAUUAUAUGACAUGUCCUUUUGGUCAAAAUGUGCAGACUGUGAGCAUUCUGGUUAUAUGUAGCAAGUAUACAAUGCAAGGAAAAGAAAAACAAACUUAUUCUGGUGUUAACCUACUUCCUAACUUCUUAGAUUAAUCUGAAGGGAACACAAUAGCUACAAACUAUUCUAUUCCUGUUCAGGUAGAAUGUGAUGCUUCAGGGAGGUUUGGUAUCCCACUGCUUAUGCCCCUUCAAAAAUAGCCUGGUAGACAGGUGAGGGAACUGAGCUCUUUAUUAUCCUGUUGAAAUAUAUGUAAUGAAAUGUAACGCAGUACUGAGACCGUGCAGAUCAUUGCUGCUGUCAUCUGAAUUACCAGUUUUACUCAAAGCUUUUAAGCUUUUCAUCCCAGUACUCUAAAUGGAUCUUCCCUGCAAAUGAGUAUCAAAUGGUGCUUAAGAUACUGGAUUUAUCAUACCAGUUUGAGAUUAUCCCUCAGGUGUUGCUUUUUUUGCCUCAGUCAGGGUGAAUUUGCCAUAAGAGCUAAGUAAAGGCUUAAGAUUGAGUGACAACGUGAAUAGGAAUAAUUUUUGCAGACAACCCUUCCCUGUCAACCACAUUUGUUAUCUAUGUCAAGGUAAUCUCUGCAAAAUACAUCUCUCAUAAAAUGUUCAAAUUGUCUGGUUGACAUUUUAAGACACCAUCCAUGCACAAGACACAGUCUUCACCAUAUCAUUCUCCACUGGGAACCUGAUGAGGUUUAACAAGAGCAAGUGUAGAGUCUUGCACAUGGGGAGGAAUAACCACAUGCACCAGUGCAGGUUUCGGGAUGACCUGCUGGAGAGGAGCUCUGAGGAGAAGGACCUGCAGGUCUUGGUGGACAACAGGUUGGCCAUGAGCCAGCAGUGUGGCCUAGAAGCCCUUGUGGCCAAGAAGGCCUACAGUAUCCUGGGGUGUGUUAAAAACAACAUGGCCAGCAAGUCAAGAGAGGUGAUCCUCCCCCUCUACUCUUCCCUAGUGAGGCCACAUUUAGAAUACGGUUUCCAGUUCUGGGCUCUCCAGUUCAAAAAAGACAGGGAUCUCCUAGGAGUCCAACAACGAUGAGUUAAUGAGUUAUCAGAUUAAAAUUGAUGUGGGAAAUACAGUUCUUCAAAUAUUAAAACCAAAUUUUGCCUAAAUUAAUACAAAUUGCAGAGCAAAAAAGAAUGAGGCAGGUUACUGUAUUUCUACAAAAAUAUAGCACUUGGAAAGACUAAUUACCUGAGAGAGAUAUUUCUAGGAUUCUGUGCAUGAAUCCUUCAAAAUAAGCACUUCCUCCUUUAGGAUCUUUUAAAAAAAAAUCCAGUUACAGAUGCAAACUCUGUUCCUCUGACAAAGCUCUGUACAAAACCUUGUAACUUCCCCCUCUUAGUUGGAUGGCUUUAAAUCCAUUUCUUUGACUGAACAAAAUCCUACAAAAAAUUUCAGUCUGUUUCUGCAUGUUCAAAGAAGCCUUUGUUAAGACAGAAUGUCAUAAAUGAGCCUUGUCUUAGAAGCUCUGAAUAUGAUUUAAGCCUCUCUUUAGGCUGUAUUUUUCUCUAAUGGAAUUUCAUAUUAUGUUGGGUUAACUGGGAUGGAUCACACUUGACAGUACUCACCUUGCCAGUUCUGCUUGAUUAUGAAAUCUGGUUUGCUGUGUGAAAGCAGUAUUCUAUCAUGAAAUUAUUAUACUAUUAUGACUUUAUUUGUGAAAUCAUAAACUACUAGCAAAAAUGUCAGGGGCUUUGCAGAAUAAAGAAAUAUAUUUCAUUUGCAAAAGCAUUUUAAAAGACAGUGCUUUAAUAUUUAAUGAACAAUAUAUAUUUUUUAAACAAGAAAACAAUGUAGCUACAUUCUUUGGGGUAUAUACUUACAUUUACUUAGCCAAACUCUAUCCUAAGGAAGAAAGAAAUCAUUCUAUUUGGUGGAAAAAAAGUCUAGUAGCUUCCACACAAUUGGUUCAUUCAGCACAGGUUAACCUUUUUUAGCAAGAUGUAUUAUUUUUUCAGAUGCUGAGAGUAUUGUAUUUAUGUCAUAAGCCACGUUACUUUACCGAUUACCUUAUAGAGUAGUGGAAUGUAUUUCCCUAAGCUGUUGAAGAAAAGCUUCUCAGCAAGGUAUCCAAAUGGAAAAAAUGUAUUCAGUACUAUGACCACAAUGGAGUCAAUGGGCAUGAUACUGCAGUGUGAACCACAACUCAUCUGUUUCCUUAAGCCUUUAAAGCAGGCAGAUCUUCAGAGGUAAGUCAAUUUCAUGUGAAAUGCACUAAAGUCUAGUUCUCAAGUUUUAAAUGCAAAGGCAUGAUGUUUGUGGCACCAGUUCUCAAGACUGCUGCAGAGGCUGCAGACAGCUGUACUGCAUUUCCCUAGGUAUUUUCAGUGGCAGAGGGCUGCUUUCUGGCUUUGGUGCUCUUUUGCCAUGGACUUGUGGAGAGAGAAGGAAGGUAUACUUGUUACAGCUAAACCAAAUUAUAUUAGCAUAAAGAUGCCUUUUUAAGUUGUCUCAGAUACCGUAGUGUGUUCCCUGAGAUGCUGAAAACACAGCAAUAGCUCUGUGCAAAUUUAUGGAUUUUUGAAGAAAAACUUGUAGAUAGAGAAAAGAUGUGGAGUGACUUCAGAAACUUGAUGUGCUGAGGGUUGGCAUCUUUGCUUGCUCUGCAUUUGCAUGUAUUGUAACCUUCAGUGGAGGUUAGUGCUCUUGUUAACAGUUGGAAUCCCUUUACAGAAAAACAAAAAAUUCUGCUCAGAGUUCUCCUUCCUUUCUCAGGCUCACUGCUGCUCUAGAGGGUCAAGUUCAGCUCUUACCUUCAUCUCAGUUUAGCUUUCUAUUAUCCAGCAAAUGGCAUUCCAUACUUGUGACUCUUUAAUGUAGAAUCCUAUCUCUUUUGUAGGCUUUUCUGUUCACUGCAGUGUCAUCACUGGUGUCUGCAGAGCUUUUGGGCUAACACAAAUUUCAGAUUGCAGCGCAGUACCUGGCAUUCAGUGCUUGGCGUUCUGAGGAGGCAACAUCUCAAACUGGUUUUUGCUGUUUAUUUUACAUUUGGAUAGAAGAUUGUCCUUGAAGAAGCGUGGCCACUUGCAUCAAUACACAUUCAUGUCCAGGCUUCCAGUGCCAGUUGCGUACUUAUUUUUAGAUUAAAGUGCUCCUGUGACUGGCACCUCUCCAUGAACAAAUAAAUACAUGUAAUGUUCACAUAAUACAGAAGAAUAAAGUGAGUGUAUUACAAUAACAAGCUGCUACAUUAUACACGAACAUUGUAGGCUUCUUUCCAGACACGUCCGUGCAAGUACGAUAGCCAUGGAUCUGGUUUAUGUUUAGCAAACAUACUAAGACAUCUAGUCUUUUCUGCAAUAUAUGUGACUUGUGUUUCAUAUUCAAAAGAACAGAAAAAUGUUCAGUUGCUGUUGGGGAUCGCCCCGGUAUCCCCAAAGCGUUGCCCUAUCGGUACUCGCGUGGGGAACGCACGAUCAACUCAAUAUGAGAUGCAUCCAAUUUUAUUGUAGCAACACACCAUCUUAUAUAGCAUAUAUGCUUCCAGGGAUACAGGGUCCAGGGAUACAAGCUCUAUCCAAUGCGCAUGCUAACAAAUUGUUGCCUGAGUUAUCUCCAUAUAUGGGAUAUGUUGUUAACUACAACACUAUGGAUACAGAAUACUAUGGAUAUGCUGGAAUAUACUAGAACACACUGGAAACACCACAUUCCACGUAUCUAGGGAUUACAUCAUUACAUCAUAAAUCAUUAGUAAAUCAGUAGCUACGUGCUGCCGAGCAACCUGCUUCUCAACAAUUCCCCCCUUUUUCUUUUAGGUCUGUAAGGCAAAACAAUCCUUUGGAUUGUG